This 324-nucleotide ribosomal RNA is filed under the name uncultured eukaryote. RNAcentral describes it as "partial 18S ribosomal RNA". It matches the Rfam family "Eukaryotic small subunit ribosomal RNA", at positions 1470 to 1796 of the family's 1831-position model. The record is from RNAcentral.
CCCUUAGAUGUUCUGGGCUGCACGCGCGCUACACUGAAGCUAUCAACACGUUUUCCCUCCCUGAGAAGGGCGUGUAACCUUUUGAAUCAGCUUCGUGGUAGGGAUCGGGGCUUGCAAUUGUUCCCCGUGAACCAGGAAUUCCUAGUAGACGCGAGUCAUAAGCUCGCAUCGAUUAAGUCCCUGCCCUUUGUACACACCGCCCGUCGCUACUACCGAUUGAACGUUUUAGUGAGGCAUUUGGACCGACGCAUCUCAGUUUAACCGCUGGUUUGUGUUGGAAAGACUUCCAAACUUGAGCGUUUAGAGGAAGUAAAAGUCGUAACA